CGCACUGUAUGGUAUCUGCAACCAACAGUUGUUCCUGAUGGCUUGUUCAAAAAACAGUGCAAGAUCAGUUCAGCAUGUGGCAUCGUUGGUUCUCAAGCUGCCGUGCUUGUGCAACCUGGUAUUUUUGUUGAGACAAGU
Small nucleolar RNA from Laticauda laticaudata (blue-ringed sea krait), 138 nucleotides. Lineage: Eukaryota; Metazoa; Chordata; Lepidosauria; Squamata; Elapidae. The record is from Ensembl.